Molecule: ribosomal RNA, 406 nt
Filed under: uncultured bacterium
Lineage: Bacteria
Description: partial 16S ribosomal RNA
Rfam family: Bacterial small subunit ribosomal RNA
Source: RNAcentral
AUUGAACGCUGGCGGCAGGCCUAACACAUGCAAGUCGAACGAGUGGCGGACGGGUGCGUAAUGGCUGGGAAACUGCCUGAUGGCGGGGGAUACCUACUGGAAACGGUAGCUAAUACCGCAUACCAUCGGAUGUGCCCAGAUGGGAUUAGCUAGUAGGUGGGGUAACGGCUCACCUCGGCGACGAUCCCUAGCGUGUCUGAGAGGAUGACCGUCCACACUGUAACUGAGACACUGUCCAUACUCCUACGGGAGGCAGAAGUGGGGAAUAUUGCACAAUGGGCGCAAGCCUGAUGCAGCCAUGCCGCGUGUAUGAAGAAGGCCUGCGGGUUGUAAAGUACUUUCAGCGGGGAGGCGUUACCCGCAGAAGAAGCACCGGCUAACUCCGUGCCAGCAGGCGCGGUAAUUC